AAUUACUUGAGCCUUUAAAAAUUAUGAAAAUUUUAAUAAAUGAAUAUAAUGAUGUAAUCUGGACACUAAAGUGCAGAAAAGUCAUGUGUAACAUCACUUUUAAGUCAAAAAUGGUCAAAUUGCUAUAAUUGACCUGAAAUGGGAAUUUUACACUCAUUUUGGCAAAUUUUACACUUAUUUUGGCAAAAUAAAAAAUGAAGCAACC
Molecule: long non-coding RNA, 205 nt
Filed under: Mytilus galloprovincialis (Mediterranean mussel)
Lineage: Eukaryota; Metazoa; Mollusca; Bivalvia; Mytilida; Mytilidae
Source: RNAcentral